This 265-nucleotide ribosomal RNA is filed under the name uncultured Anaerolineaceae bacterium. RNAcentral's name for it is "partial 16S ribosomal RNA". It matches the Rfam family "Bacterial small subunit ribosomal RNA", at positions 1105 to 1382 of the family's 1533-position model. Lineage: Bacteria; Bacillati; Chloroflexota; Anaerolineae; Anaerolineales; Anaerolineaceae. The record is from RNAcentral.
UCACUGUGUGUUAUAUGUGUCGACACGGGACUGCCGGUUUUAAGCCGGAGGAAGGUGGGGAUGACGUCAAGUCAGCAUGGCCUUUAUAUCCUGGGCUACACACACGCUACAAUGGUCGGUACAAUAGGUUGCCAAGCCGCGAGGCGGAGCCAAUCCAAAAAAGCCGGCCUCAGUUCAGAUUGUAGGCUGCAACUCGCCUGCAUGAAGAUGGAGUUGCUAGUAACCGCAGGUCAGCAAUACUGCGGUGAAUACGUUCCCGGGUCUU